Molecule: ribosomal RNA, 492 nt
Filed under: uncultured bacterium
Lineage: Bacteria
Description: partial 16S ribosomal RNA
Rfam family: Bacterial small subunit ribosomal RNA
Source: RNAcentral
AGUGAGCGCUGGCGGUAGGCCUAACACAUGCAAGUCGAACGGCAGCACAGUAAGAGCUUGCUCUUACGGGUGGCGAGUGGCGGACGGGUGAGGAAUACAUCGGAAUCUACUUUUUCGUGGGGGAUAACGUAGGGAAACUUACGCUAAUACCGCAUACGACCUACGGGUGAAAGCAGGGGAUCUUCGGACCUUGCGCGAUUGAAUGAGCCGAUGUCGGAUUAGCUAGUUGGCGGGGUAAAGGCCCACCAAGGCGACGAUCCGUAGCUGGUCUGAGAGGAUGAUCAGCCACACUGGAACUGAGACACGGUCCAGACUCCUACGGGAGGCAGCAGUGGGGAAUAUUGGACAAUGGGCGCAAGCCUGAUCCAGCCAUACCGCGUGGGUGAAGAAGGCCUUCGGGUUGUAAAGCCCUUUUGUUGGGAAAGAAAAGCAGCAGGUUAAUACCCCGCUGUCCUGACGGUACCCAAAGAAUAAGCACCGGCUAACUUCGUG